GACGAACGCUGGCGGCGUGCUUAACACAUGCAAGUCGAACGGAAAGGCCCUGCUUUUGUGGGGUGCUCGAGUGGCGAACGGGUGAGUAACACGUGAGUAACCUGCCCUUGACUUUGGGAUAACUUCAGGAAACUGGGGCUAAUACCGGAUAGGAGCUCCUGCUGCAUGGUGGGGGUUGGAAAGUUUCGGCGGUUGGGGAUGGACUCGCGGCUUAUCAGCUUGUUGGUGGGGUAGUGGCUUACCAAGGCUUUGACGGGUAGCCGGCCUGAGAGGGUGACCGGCCACAUUGGGACUGAGAUACGGCCCAGACUCCUACGGGAGGCAGCAGUGGGGAAUAUUGCACAAUGGGCGGAAGCCUGAUGCAGCAACGCCGCGUGCGGGAUGACGGCCUUCGGGUUGUAAACCGCUUUCGCCUGUGACGAAGCGUGAGUGACGGUAAUGGGUAAAGAAGCACCGGCUAACUACGUGCCAGCAGCCGCGGUGAUACGUAGGGUGCGAGCGUUGUCCGGAUUUAUUGGGCGUAAAGGGCUCGUAGGUGGUUGAUCGCGUCGGAAGUGUAAUCUUGGGGCUUAACCCUGAGCGUGCUUUCGAUACGGGUUGACUUGAGGAAGGUAGGGGAGAAUGGAAUUCCUGGUGGAGCGGUGGAAUGCGCAGAUAUCAGGAGGAACACCAGUGGCGAAGGCGGUUCUCUGGGCCUUUCCUGACGCUGAGGAGCGAAAGCGUGGGGAGCGAACAGGCUUAGAUACCCUGGUAGUCCACGCUGUAAACGGUGGGUACUAGGUGUGGGGUCCAUUCCACGGGUUCCGUGCCGUAGCUAACGCUUUAAGUACCCCGCCUGGGGAGUACGGCCGCAAGGCUAAAACUCAAAGGAAUUGACGGGGCCCCGCACAAGCGGCGGAGCAUGCGGAUUAAUUCGAUGCAACGCGUAGAACCUUACCUGGGUUUGACAUGGAUCGGGAGUGCUCAGAGAUGGGUGUGCCUCUUUUGGGGUCGGUUCACAGGUGGUGCAUGCCUGUCGUCAGCUCGUGUCGUGAGAUGUUGGGUUAAGUCCCGCAACGAGCGCAACCCUUGUUCACUGUUGCCAGCACGUUAUGGUGGGGACUCAGUGGAGACCGCCGGGGUCAACUCGGAGGAAGGUGGGGAUGACGUCAAGUCCUCAUGCCCCUUAUGUCCAGGGCUUCACGCAUGCUACAAUGGCUGGUACAGAGAGUGGCGAGCCUGUGAGGGUGAGCGAAUCUCGGAAAGCCGGUCUCAGUUCGGGUUGGGGUCUGCAACUCGACCUCAUGAAGUCGGAGUCGCUAGUAAUCGCAGAUCAGCAACGCUGCGGUGAAUACGUUCCCGGGGCU
Molecule: ribosomal RNA, 1346 nt
Filed under: uncultured bacterium
Lineage: Bacteria
Description: bacterial SSU rRNA
Rfam family: Bacterial small subunit ribosomal RNA
Source: RNAcentral